AUUGAACGCUGGCGGAAUGCUUUACACAUGCAAGUCGAGCGGCAGCGCGGGGGCAACCCUGGCGGCGAGCGGCGAACGGGUGAGUAAUACAUCGGAACGUGUCCUUAAGUGGGGGAUAGCUCGGCGAAAGCCGGAUUAAUACCGCAUAAGCUCUGAGGAGGAAAGCGGGGGCUCCGUAAGGACCCCGCGCUGUUGGAGCGGCCGAUGUCGGAUUAGCUAGUUGGUGGGGUAAAGGCCCACCAAGGCGACGAUCCGUAGCUGGUCUGAGAGGAUGAUCAGCCACACUGGAACUGAGACACGGUCCAGACUCCUACGGGAGGCAGCAGGUGGGGUAAUUUUGGACAAGUGGGGGCAACCCUGAUCCAGCC
RNAcentral lists this ribosomal RNA (368 nucleotides) under uncultured bacterium. Its description in RNAcentral is "bacterial SSU rRNA". It matches the Rfam family "Bacterial small subunit ribosomal RNA", at positions 29 to 393 of the family's 1533-position model. The record is from RNAcentral.